UAAAUAUUCAGAACCUAUAAUAUUAACCCUCUCCUACGCCUUUUCACAAAAUCUAAAUCCUACUACAUUCUUACUACUUCCCUCCUUUCUUCAAUAAUCCUGCUACUCUUGUCAGACCUGUGUUCUCAAAUAGAAAUUUAAGAUAAAAAAAAUAAGAAAAAUAACUAAAAUAUACCAAUAAAUAGUACCUUUUGUAACCGAAGAAGUACAAACUUUUAAAUUAAGCAAGCCUGCCAAGUAUCAAUACAACCUACAAAAUAUUUUGAAAACCUAGUUCGUUAAAAAUAGCAUUAGUACAAUAUCAAUCAAACAUAUCAGACAAAUAUUACUAAUUUCAAAAAACCUUUGAAGUCGAAAUUUGUUCAUGGUUGCAAAUACCCAUAUUGAUCCAAUUUCAAGAAGCUGAAUCUCCUAUAUUUUGCCCAUCUUCUGCUUACAUAGUAGUGAAUUGUAUAUGUUACAAAAAUUCACUCAACCUUUCCAGGCCACACUUUAUGCCUUACAUUAAUAGUAAUUUCAACAUUACAAAAUUUACACUAGGCACAACCAUAUAAAGAAUACAAAAUGAUUUCAUUCAAAAGGGUGACCAAGUGUAAUAUUAUCUCUCAACAAAAGUAUAAAAUAAAAUAUUAAAUACACCAUAACAAAUACACUAAAUAGAUACACGAAAAACUCAUUCAAAACAAUAUCACAAUAACCAAAAAACAUGAUUCUGCGUAGUUUAAUCAAUAACCACCAACCAUCACAUUCAAGCAGAAACAAUUAAACAAUUUACUAUAUUCCAAACAAAAUUUAGAAUUACACAUUACUCAUAUAUUGGUCAAUCCAUAAACCAAUCAAUAAAUAUAUGCAAUAUUUUAUAUAAUAUAUAAUGUAUGUAUACAAAUAUAUACGUAAAUUACUUAUAUAAUAUAUAUAGAUAAGAUACUACUACAUAUGUAAAUAUACUUGUAUACUAUAUGUAUAUUACAUACAUCAUAUAUUAUAAUUUAUAAUAUAAUAUAAUAUAAUAUAAUACAUAUAUAUAUAUAUAAUUAUAUUUUGCCCAUCUUCUGCUUACAUAGUUUUGUUGUAUAUGUUACAAAAAUUCACUCAACUUUUCCAGGCCACACUUUAUGCCUUGCAUUAAUAGUAAUUUCAACAUUACAAAAAUUUCACUAGGCACAACCAUAUAAAGAAUACAAAAUGAUUUCAUUCAAAAGGGUGACCAAGUGUAAUUUUAUCUCUCAACAAAAGUUUAAAAUAAAAUAUUAAAUACACCAUAACAAAUACACUAAAUAGAUACAUGAAAAACUCAUUCAAAACAAUAUCACAAUAACCAAAAAACAUGAUUCUGCGUAGUUUAAUCAAUAACCACCAACCAUCACAUUCAAGCAUAAACAAUUAAACAAUUUACUAUAUUCCAAACAAAGUUUAGAAUUACACAUUACUCAUAUAUUAGUCAACCCAUAAACAAAUCAAUAAAUAUAUGUAAUAUAUUUUAUAGAAUAUAUAAUAUAUAAUAUGUAUUUAUUAAAAUAUAUAUGUAUAUUACUUAUAUAAUAUAUAUAGAUAAUAUACUACUACAUAUGUAGAUAUACUUGUAUACUAUAUGUAUAUUAUAUACAUCAUAUAUUAUAAUAUAAUAUAAUAUAUAAUAUAUAUAUAAAUAUAAUAUAUAUAUAUACCUAUUUCCUAAAUAUUCAGAACCUAUAAUAUUAACCCUCUCUUACGCCUUUCACAAAAUCUAAAUCCUACUACAUUCUUACUACUUCCCUACUUUCUCCAAUAAUCCAGCUACUCUUGUCAGACCUGUGUUCUCAAAUAGAAAUUUAAGAUAAAAAAAUAAGAAAAAUAAAUAAAAUAUACCAAUAAAUAGUACCUUUUGUAACCGAAGAAGUACAAACUUUUAAAUUAAGCAAGCCUGCCAAGUAUCAAUACAACCU
Molecule: long non-coding RNA, 1925 nt
Filed under: Panax ginseng (ginseng)
Lineage: Eukaryota; Viridiplantae; Streptophyta; Magnoliopsida; Apiales; Araliaceae
Description: long non-coding RNA (PGIN_LNC018770)
Source: RNAcentral